UACGUAGGGUGCAAGCGUUAUCCGGAAUUAUUGGGCGUAAAGAGCUCGUAGGCGGUUUGUCGCGUCUGCUGUGAAAACCCGAGGCUCAACCUCGGGCCUGCAGUGGGUACGGGCAGACUAGAGUGCGGUAGGGGAGAUUGGAAUUCCUGGUGUAGCGGUGGAAUGCGCAGAUAUCAGGAGGAACACCGGUGGCGAAGGCGGCUCACUGGCUCGUAUCUGACGCUCAGGCGCGACAGCGUGGGGAUCAAACAGG
RNAcentral lists this ribosomal RNA (253 nucleotides) under uncultured bacterium. RNAcentral describes it as "partial 16S ribosomal RNA". It matches the Rfam family "Bacterial small subunit ribosomal RNA", at positions 524 to 776 of the family's 1533-position model. The record is from RNAcentral.